Molecule: ribosomal RNA, 447 nt
Filed under: Capnocytophaga granulosa
Lineage: Bacteria; Pseudomonadati; Bacteroidota; Flavobacteriia; Flavobacteriales; Flavobacteriaceae
Description: bacterial SSU rRNA
Rfam family: Bacterial small subunit ribosomal RNA
Source: RNAcentral
GAUGAACGCUAGCGGCAGGCCUAACACAUGCAAGUCGAGGGAGAAGCCCUUCGGGGCAGAAACCGGCGCACGGGUGCGUAACGCGUAUGCAACCUACCUUUCACAGGGGGAUAGCCCGAAGAAAUUUGGAUUAAUACCCCAUAAUAUUAUUGGAUGGCAUCAUUUGAUAAUUAAAAUUACGAUGGUGAAAGAUGGGCAUGCGUCCUAUUAGCUAGUUGGAGUGGUAACGGCACCCCAAGGCUACGAUAGGUAGGGGUCCUGAGAGGGAGAUCCCCCACACUGGUACUGAGACAGGGACCAGACUCCUACGGGAGGCAGCAGUGAGGAAUAUUGGUCAAUGGUCGGAAGACUGAACCAGCCAUGCCGCGUGCAGGAAGAAUGCCUUAUGGGUUGUAAACUGCUUUUAUAUGGGAAGAAUAAGGAGCACGUGUGCUUGAUGACGGUACC